CCUACGGGAGGCAGCAGUGGGGAAUAUUGGACAAUGGGCGCAAGCCUGAUCCAGCAAUGCCGCGUGGAUGAAGAAGGUCUUCGGAUUGUAAAGUCCUUUCGGCGGGGACGAUGAUGACGGUACCCGCAGAAGAAGCCCCGGCUAACUUCGUGCCAGCAGCCGCGGUAAUACGAAGGGGGCUAGCGUUACUCGGAAUUACUGGGCGUAAAGGGCGCGUAGGCGGCGGCGACAGUCAGGCGUGAAAUUCCUGGGGCUUAACCUGGGGGCUGCGCUUGAUACAUCGCUGCUAGAGGACGGAAGAGGGUCGUGGAAUUCCCAGUGUAGAGGUGAAAUUCGUAGAUAUUGGGAAGAACACCGGUGGCGAAGGCGGCGACCUGGUCCGUUACUGACGCUGAGGCGCGACAGCGUGGGGAGCAAACAGGAUUAGAUACCCUGGUAGUCCACGCCGUAAACGAUGUGCGCUGGAUGUUGGGGCCCUUAGGGUUUCAGUGUCGUAGCUAACGCGGUAAGCGCACGCCUGGGGAGUACGGCCGCAAGGUU
RNAcentral lists this ribosomal RNA (540 nucleotides) under uncultured bacterium. RNAcentral's name for it is "bacterial SSU rRNA". It matches the Rfam family "Bacterial small subunit ribosomal RNA", at positions 338 to 895 of the family's 1533-position model. The record is from RNAcentral.